Long non-coding RNA from Astatotilapia calliptera (eastern happy), 1684 nucleotides. NCBI's taxonomy places the organism in Eukaryota, Metazoa, Chordata, Actinopteri, Cichliformes, Cichlidae. The record is from Ensembl.
UCCGAACGUCCACCACUCGACCAAGAACCUGUGUGUUGUUUUAUUGUAGUGCAGUGUAGAGUUUUCGCGUGUAUAUCUGGCGUUGUUAUGUCCAUUUUUGUAAGUAGUUGUAAAUAGGUUGUCAAGUCGCGAUCACGCUUUGUUCACCUGAUGUAUAUCCUUCACUGCCGCAGCCUAGUAGGCGUGAGAAGCCAUUUUUGUUGAACAAGUUUUCUCCUGUUUUUUCAUUAGAAAGCUAGAGGGUGAGAGACGCGACAGUCAAGUGGAGCGUGCAUCUGUCCUCUCAGUGAGUGAGACAGUGGACAGCGGCAGUCUUGACCACAAGUCUACAUGGAGCUGAAAUAUGAUCCUGCUUCCUCAUUUGGACUCAUUCACCUCAGCUGACACGUUCAACAGUAGACAGGUUUUUGUAGCAGUCUGUCUCACUGUGGGAGGAAACGGCUACCUAUUCUUUGUCUCUGGAACUAAACUCUAUGUAACAGAUGAGCAGGUAGUGAAGCCCGUGGUGAGCGUGUACCCAGCAGCAUCCAGAGCCCACCUGGAGGGGAACAGCUCCCUGCUGUGUGUGGCCUCAGCCAUGUUUCCUCCUCUGGUCCAGUUCUCCUGGAAAAGACAGAAGAAGAACGGCGGAGAAGCGGAGGAGCUGCCCCCUGCUGAGGGAGAGCAGCUGGAGCUCAGAGAGGCGGGACGCACCAUUGCCAUCAGGAUGCUUGAUGGGAGCCAUUCUGACACAUAUAAAUACAGCUGCUGGGUGAAGCACGAGGGGGGCACAGUGGAGGCCCGAACACAACAAGAGCUUCCAGCUCCAGCAGCCUCCUGUCCUCCAGAGAGAGAGCCAGCAGACCUGCCAGCUCUGCAGCCAGCUGACUGUAAGAUCACCUGCUGCCUCUCUGCAUGGACAGCUCCAAUGUCCAAUGAGGCAGCUGGAACAAGUUUAGGCUCUUAAAGUUGCACUAAUUGAUCAAAUCUUCAUCCAACAAGCUCUGAUAAAGCCACUGUACACUAGCUGCUCAGCACCAAACAGCAGACAGACCAUAAUAUGUCAGAGAUCAGUUUGUUAGCUGCUUGUGGAGUUCUUCUGCCCCCAAGUGGACACAAACACUACAUCAAUUCAUCCACUUGAAGAAGAAGCUGUGACUGUUUCUAUUUGGACUUUUUCUCCUUGAUCUGAGAGGAAUAACCCGACUGUCUGUCUGUCUCUUUGUGUCUGUCUGUCCUUCAGUGUCCUUCCAGUCUCAGUGCAGGGUGAAGCUGCUCUGCCUGCUAUACACAGUGCUGAUAGUGAAGAGUCUGGUGUACUGCUGUGGACUCUCUCUGCUGAUGAUGCUCACAAACAAGGGAGCGUCCACCAACUGCACACAUGCUGACUGACUGUUUCCUGCUCGCCUUUUCUCACCAUCACAUCUCAUCAAUUCAUCUCAUUCAUCACUUUGAUCACAAAUGUUAGUUAUGAUGUGUUGAGCUUAUUUUGCCUUUUUCUUCAACAGUUAGAAGAUCGUCUGAAAUAAAUACAUCUUUACAUGUAUUGUUGCUCUGAGUUAGAAUUCUUUUUGUGCUUAUUGUGACUUUUAUUGUAGUAACAAAAACCAUCAGGAAUAUUUUUAUCACAAGUUUUUGUUUGAUUUUCAAAUGUCAAACAGUGUAGUUGUGUUUGUGUGAACAAUAAAGAUUUGAAGAUGAAGAG